Molecule: ribosomal RNA, 438 nt
Filed under: uncultured bacterium
Lineage: Bacteria
Description: bacterial SSU rRNA
Rfam family: Bacterial small subunit ribosomal RNA
Source: RNAcentral
CAGUGGGGAAUAUUGGACAAAGGGCGCAAGCCUGAUCCAGCAAUGCCGCGUGUGUGAAGGAGGCCUUCGGGUUGUAAAGCACUUUUAUCAGGAUCGAAAUACUACCGGCUAAUACCCGGUGGGGCUGACGGUACCUGAGGAAUAAGCACCGACUAACUUCGUGCCAGCAGCCGCGGUAAUACGAAGGGUGCAAGCGUUAAUCGGAAUUACUGGGCGUAAAGCGUGCGUAGGCGGUUUGUUAAGUCUGCUGUGAAAUCCCCGGGCUCAACCUGGGAAUGGCAGUGGAUACUGGCAAGCUAGAGUGUGUCAGAGGAUGGUGGAAUUCCCGGUGUAGCGGUGAAAUGCGUAGAGAUCGGGAGGAACAUCAGUGGCGAAGGCGGCCAUCUGGGGCAACACUGACGCUGAGGUGCGAAAGCAUGGGGAGCGAACAGGAUUAGA